GGCGAGAUAGCUCAGUUGGCUAGAGCACACGGUUCAUACCCGUGGGGUCGAGGGUUCGAAUCCCCCUCUCGCUA
RNAcentral lists this transfer RNA (74 nucleotides) under Ruminococcus sp. AM18-15. Its description in RNAcentral is "tRNA-Met". It matches the Rfam family "tRNA". From Rfam's summary of the family: Transfer RNA (tRNA) molecules are approximately 80 nucleotides in length. The record is from RNAcentral. Lineage: Bacteria; Bacillati; Bacillota; Clostridia; Eubacteriales; Oscillospiraceae.